This 498-nucleotide ribosomal RNA is filed under the name uncultured bacterium. RNAcentral describes it as "partial 16S ribosomal RNA". It matches the Rfam family "Bacterial small subunit ribosomal RNA", at positions 28 to 507 of the family's 1533-position model. The record is from RNAcentral.
GACGAACGCUGGCGGCGUGCCUAAUACAUGCAAGUCGAGCGGACGAAUCGAAAGCUUGCUUUUGAUUCGUUAGCGGCGGACGGGUGAGUAACACGUGGGCAACCUGCCCUGUAGACGGGGAUAACACCGAGAAAUCGGUGCUAAUACCGGAUAACACGAAAUGUCGCAUGACGUUUCGUUGAAAGACGGCGCAAGCUGCCGCUACAGGAUGGGCCCGCGGCGCAUUAGCUAGUUGGUGAGGUAACGGCUCACCAAGGCGACGAUACGUAGCCGACCUGAGAGGGUGAUCGGCCACACUGGGACUGAGACACGGCCCAGACUCCUACGGGAGGCAGCAGUAGGGAAUCUUCCGCAAUGGACGAAAGUCUGACGGAGCACCGCCGCGUGAGCGAAGAAGGCCUUCGGGUCGUAAAGCUCUGUUGUUAGGGAAGAACAAGUAACGCAGUAACUGGCGUUACCGUGACGGUACCUAACGAGAAAGCCACGGCUAACUACGUG